AUGCAAGUCGAACGCGAAAGUCCCGCAAGGGAUAAGUAGAGUGGCAAACGGGUGAGUAACACGUGGGUGACCUGCCUUCGAGUGGGGGAUAACGUUCCGAAAGGGACGCUAAUACCGCAUGACAUCCUGCCUUUGAACAGGCGGAAAUUAAAGCCGGGGAUCGCAAGACCUGGCGCUUGAAGAGGGGCCCGCGUCCGAUUAGCUAGUUGGUGGGGUAACGGCUCACCAAGGCAACGAUCGGUAGCCGGCCUGAGAGGGCGGACGGCCACACUGGGACUGAGACACGGCCCAGACUCCUACGGGAGGCAGCAGUAGGGAAUUGUUCGCAAUGGGCGCAAGCCUGACGACGCAACGCCGCGUGGAGGAUGAAGAUCUUCGGGUCGUAAACUCCUUUCGAUCGAGACGAAUGGCCCUGAGGUAAAUAGCCUCGGGGAAUGACGGUACCGAGAGAAGAAGCCCCGGCUAACUCCGUGCCAGCAGCCGCGGUAAUACGGGGGGGGCAAGCGUUGUUCGGAAUUACUGGGCGUAAAGGGCUCGUAGGCGGCCAACUAAGUCAGACGUGAAAUCCCUCGGCUUAACCGGGGAACUGCGUCUGAUACUGGAUGGCUGGAGUUUGGGAGAGGGAUGCGGAAUUCCAGGUGUAGCGGUGAAAUGCGUAGAUAUCUGGAGGAACACCGGUGGCGAAGGCGGCAUCCUGGACCAACACUGACGCUGAGGAGCGAAAGCCAGGGGAGCAAACGGGAUUAGAUACCCCGGUAGUCCUGGCCCUAAACGAUGA
RNAcentral lists this ribosomal RNA (778 nucleotides) under uncultured Acidobacteriota bacterium. RNAcentral describes it as "bacterial SSU rRNA". It matches the Rfam family "Bacterial small subunit ribosomal RNA", at positions 55 to 812 of the family's 1533-position model. Lineage: Bacteria; Pseudomonadati; Acidobacteriota. The record is from RNAcentral.